RNAcentral lists this ribosomal RNA (832 nucleotides) under uncultured bacterium. RNAcentral describes it as "bacterial SSU rRNA". It matches the Rfam family "Bacterial small subunit ribosomal RNA", at positions 50 to 894 of the family's 1533-position model. The record is from RNAcentral.
AACACAUGCAAGUCGAACGAGAGAUGAGGAGCUUGCUCUUCAAAUCGAGUGGCGAACGGGUGAGUAACGCGUGAGGAACCUGCCUCAAAGAGGGGGACAACAGUUGGAAACGACUGCUAAUACCGCAUAAGCCCACGGCUCGGCAUCGAGCAGAGGGAAAAGGAGCAAUCCGCUUUGAGAUGGCCUCGCGUCCGAUUAGCUAGUUGGUGAGGUAACGGCCCACCAAGGCGACGAUCGGUAGCCGGACUGAGAGGUUGAACGGCCACAUUGGGACUGAGACACGGCCCAGACUCCUACGGGAGGCAGCAGUGGGGAAUAUUGCACAAUGGGGGAAACCCUGAUGCAGCGACGCCGCGUGGAGGAAGAAGGUCUUCGGAUUGUAAACUCCUGUUGUUGAGGAAGAUAAUGACGGUACUCAACAAGGAAGUGACGGCUAACUACGUGCCAGCAGCCGCGGUAAAACGUAGGUCACAAGCGUUGUCCGGAAUUACUGGGUGUAAAGGGAGCGCAGGCGGGAGAACAAGUUGGAAGUGAAAUCCAUGGGCUCAACCCAUGAACUGCUUUCAAAACUGUUUUUCUUGAGUAGUGCAGAGGUAGGCGGAAUUCCCGGUGUAGCGGUGGAAUGCGUAGAUAUCGGGAGGAACACCAGUGGCGAAGGCGGCCUACUGGGCACCAACUGACGCUGAGGCUCGAAAGUGUGGGUAGCAAACAGGAUUAGAUACCCUGGUAGUCCACACCGUAAACGAUGAUUACUAGGUGUUGGAGGAUUGACCCCUUCAGUGCCGCAGUUAACACAAAUAAGUAAUCCACCUGGGGAGUACGACCGCAAGGU